Molecule: ribosomal RNA, 252 nt
Filed under: uncultured bacterium
Lineage: Bacteria
Description: partial 16S ribosomal RNA
Rfam family: Bacterial small subunit ribosomal RNA
Source: RNAcentral
UUCGGAUUGUAAAGCACUUUAAGCUGGGAGGAAGGGCAGUAUGUUAAUACCUUGACGGAUNUUGACAGUUACCAGCAGAAUAUAGCACCGGCUAACUUCGUGCCACGCAGCCGCGGUAAUACGAAGAGGUGCAAGACGCUUAAUCGGAAUUACUGGGCGUAUAAGCGCGCGCUAUGGUGGUUCAUGCAAGUUGGAUGUGGAAAGCCCCGGGCUCAACCUGGGAACUGCAUCUCAAAACUAGCGUGGGCUAGA